GAUGAACGCUGGCGGCGUGCCUAAUACAUGCCAGUCGAGCGAACGGACGAGAAGCUUUCUUCUCUGAUGUUAGCGGCGGACGGGUGAGUAACACAUGGAUAACCUACCUAUAUUACUGGGAUGAAUUCGGGAAACCAGAUCUACUACCGGCUAAUAUUUUGAACCGCAUGGUUCAAAAGUGAAAGACGGUUUUCCCGUCACUUAUAGAUGGUUCCGCGCUGGAUUAGCUAGUUGGUAAGGUAACGGCUUACCAAGGCAACGAUGCAUAGCCGACCUGAGAGGGUGAUCAGCCACACUGGAACUGAGACACGGUCCAGACUCCUACGGGAGGCAGCAGUAGGGAAUAUUCCGCAAUGGGCGAAAGCCUGACGGAGCAACGCCGCGUGAGUGAUGAAGGUCUUCGGAUCGUAAAACUCUGUUAUUAGGGAAGAACAUAUGUGUAAGUAACUGUGCACAUCUUGACGGUACCUAAUCAGAAAGCCACGGCUAACUACGUG
This 497-nucleotide ribosomal RNA is filed under the name uncultured bacterium. RNAcentral describes it as "partial 16S ribosomal RNA". It matches the Rfam family "Bacterial small subunit ribosomal RNA", at positions 28 to 507 of the family's 1533-position model. The record is from RNAcentral.